GCCGAGACUAGAGUCACAUCCUGACAUAACUCUUGUCCUGGUGUGCUAGAGUACUCGGAGAGAAUCUACUGGUCUUGAUUCACUGGCGGGGGCCGUCGGUGCCCCCGUUAGUGCCCAGAUCAGAAACAUAC
Small nucleolar RNA from Callithrix jacchus (white-tufted-ear marmoset), 131 nucleotides. The record is from Ensembl. Lineage: Eukaryota; Metazoa; Chordata; Mammalia; Primates; Cebidae.